AGCAGCCGCGGUAAUUCCAGCUCCAAUAGCGUAUAUUAAAGUUGUUGCAGUUAAAAAGCUCGUAGUUGAAUUUCGGGGUUCUUCCGUUGGUCGGGCUAUCCAGUCUGUACUAGCGUGUAGAAUUCCUACCUUCUGGGGAACCAUCAUGUUAUUAAUUUAGCGUGGCGGGAAACCAGGACCUUUACCUUGAAAAAAUUAGAGUGUUCAAAGCAGGCUUACGUCUGAAUACAUUAGCAUGGAAUAAUAGAAUAGGACGGUGGUCCUGUUUUGUUGGUUUCUGAAUCACCGUAAUGAUUAAUAGGGAUAGUUGGGGGCAUUAGUAUUCAAUUGUCAGAGGUGAAAUUCUUGGAUUUAUUGAAGACUAACUUCUGCGAAAGCAUUUGCCAAGGAUGUUUUCAUUAAUCAAGAACGAAAGUUAGGGGAUCGAAGACGAUCAGAUACCGUCGUAGU
This 450-nucleotide ribosomal RNA is filed under the name uncultured Glomeromycotina. Its description in RNAcentral is "SSU rRNA". It matches the Rfam family "Eukaryotic small subunit ribosomal RNA", at positions 569 to 1024 of the family's 1831-position model. Lineage: Eukaryota; Fungi; Glomeromycota. The record is from RNAcentral.